UCACGAAAGUGGGCUGUACUAGAAAUCGCCGAGCCAACCGCAAGGAGGCAGGCGCUCAAGGUAUGACUCAUGAUUGGGGUG
Molecule: ribosomal RNA, 81 nt
Filed under: uncultured bacterium
Lineage: Bacteria
Description: partial 16S ribosomal RNA
Source: RNAcentral